UACGAAGGGUUCAAGCGUUACUCGGAAUUACUGGGCGUAAAGCGUGCGUAGGUGGUUCGUUAAGUCUGUCGUGAAAGCCCCGGGCUCAACCUGGGAAUGGCGAUGGAUACUGGCGGGCUAGAGUGCGGUAGAGGGUGGUGGAAUUCCCGGUGUAGCAGUGAAAUGCGUAGAGAUCGGGAGGAACAUCAGUUGCGAAGGCGGCCACCUGGACCAGCACUGACACUGAGGCACGAAAGCGUGGGGAGCAAACAGG
Molecule: ribosomal RNA, 253 nt
Filed under: uncultured bacterium
Lineage: Bacteria
Description: partial 16S ribosomal RNA
Rfam family: Bacterial small subunit ribosomal RNA
Source: RNAcentral